This 383-nucleotide long non-coding RNA is filed under the name Eutrema salsugineum. Its description in RNAcentral is "long non-coding RNA (ESAL_LNC001006)". The record is from RNAcentral. Lineage: Eukaryota; Viridiplantae; Streptophyta; Magnoliopsida; Brassicales; Brassicaceae.
GUGCACAUGGGAAGUCUGUUUUGCUUGUGUCACAAUAUUCUCCCCUUGCGGCCUUGGCUGGUCCAUCGACUUCCUCAAUGUAGCACAUGACUGCAACAAGGUAUAAUCAAAUGAUUACAAAGCAAAAUCAUAUUGGUAAGCAUAUAAUAUCUGAGAAAGUUGAAAACUCGAGAGAAUAUUAAUUUACUUCUUUUGUUAGAUUAGCAAAAAGUUAUGGAGUUUUUAAUAAUCUAAGAGAACUACUUACAUUGAGUUUCGUGGGUGACGUGAGCGAAGAAGGCAGCGAUUUCGCGUUUGGAGAUGGAAGAACCAAAGCUAGGGUAGGAGUUAGCUGCAGCGAGGAAGGCGUCGUGAGUGUAGAAUCCUUUACCUUUGCAAUCACU